Molecule: ribosomal RNA, 264 nt
Filed under: uncultured archaeon
Lineage: Archaea
Description: partial 16S ribosomal RNA
Rfam family: Archaeal small subunit ribosomal RNA
Source: RNAcentral
ACACGACUACAUUAGAUACCCGUGUAGUCCUAGCCGUAAACGAUACUCGCUAGGUGUCGGCCACGGUGCGACCGUUGUCGGUGCCGUAGGGAAGCCGUGAAGCGAGCCACCUGGGAAGUACGGCCGCAAGGCUGAAACUUAAAGGAAUUGCGGGGGAGCACCACAACGGGUGGAGCCUGCGGUUUAAUCGGACUCAACGCCGGGAAUCUCACCGGAUAAGACAGCUGAAUGAUAGUCGGGAUGAAGACUCUACUUGACUAGCUG